This 991-nucleotide long non-coding RNA is filed under the name Vulpes vulpes (red fox). Its description in RNAcentral is "lncRNA (ENSVVUG00000006683.1)". Lineage: Eukaryota; Metazoa; Chordata; Mammalia; Carnivora; Canidae. The record is from RNAcentral.
GCCCCGGUGGCGGCGGCCCCCCCAGCCAGCCCCGCCGGCGCCUCCUCCGACCGCCGCGGGCCCCCGGGCCUGGGCCACAGCUCCGGGGCAGCCCCGAACCCGCCAGAGGCGCAGAAACCAGGAGGGAUGCGGCCUGGGAGCUGACACUCGGGCCCGGUCCAUUCAAUCAUUCUCUAUCCACGUGUCCCCUUGGCAGAGUCUCAGCCCUCUCUGCCCGUCCUUUGCUAGGUGCUGAGGACACGCACAACGGCGAGCAAGCGGAGCCCGGCCCUGUUCCCGCUGCCCUGCAGCCCAGUGGAUGGAGCCCACCGUCCGCAGACCUGCCAGGAAAGAAAACAAAAUUCCUGAGGGUUGUUCCAAGCAGGGAAUCCCCGGUGGAUUGAGGAAUGCGUGGCUUUUCUUCAGCUCACUGAUCUCUGUGGUAGCUACUGGCACCCAAAAAACGCCCAAGAAUGAAAGGCCUGUGAUUCGCAAGUUGCUGCUAGAGAUAUUUUAGCCUCUCCAGAUAGCAAUGCAGCUGCCACACAAGCUUGUAAGGUAAAUAACAGGGCCUGCUAAAGCUUAAUGGUACAAAGCUGAUGUUUAAAGUUCUCCUCCAUUUAAAUUUUUUUUUUUAAGUUCACAUUUUGAAAAUGUAUCCUUUCGGAAAGACAGGUGAAGUACUAAUAUCUAGGGAAGUUGCUUGAUUUGUGCUUCUAUCAGUAUCUUAUAUUUAGGUAGGCAACUCAGAGGAAGAAAGCAUCUAAAAAAAGUGUGUUGGGUGUAAGAAAUUCAGAGAGAGAGAGAGAGAGAGAAAGAAAUUCAGAGAGCCUGCCAUCAAACAUAGUUAGCUACUCCACAAACGUAAUAUUUUAACCAAUUUUGUUGACGCAUAAUCUACAAAUGCACCCUUAAUUUUCGAGGUACAAUUCGAUACAUUUUUGACAGUGUGUAUACCCAGGUAAUCAACAAUCAAAAUACACAAUAAACAAACAAACAAACAAAAUGUACA